UUAUCCCUGCGGCUCUCGAGAGAGUACGCCCCUAUUUAAACCAACACAUUUUUUAAGGGAAAUCCUGAAUUAUCUGUGGCGUGCAAGCCUGCUGCGGGUAGGAAGCCCAGGAGCAGAUAGAGGAUUGCCCACCUGCGAGAGCAGGUUUGAAUAAGCGUACAAGACGGUUCAUGCGGGGUAAGU
RNAcentral lists this non-coding RNA (183 nucleotides) under Clostridia bacterium. Its description in RNAcentral is "6S RNA". It matches the Rfam family "6S / SsrS RNA". Rfam says of the family: E. coli 6S RNA was the first non coding RNA to be sequenced, but its function was unknown until recently. It consists of 184 nucleotides that fold into an extended hairpin structure with a large single-stranded internal bulge. Lineage: Bacteria; Bacillati; Bacillota; Clostridia. The record is from RNAcentral.